This 143-nucleotide small nuclear RNA is filed under the name Pogona vitticeps (central bearded dragon). Its description in RNAcentral is "U4 spliceosomal RNA (ENSPVIG00000020251.1)". It matches the Rfam family "U4 spliceosomal RNA". From Rfam's summary of the family: U4 small nuclear RNA (U4 snRNA) is a component of the major U2-dependent spliceosome. The structure of U4 snRNA from yeast and human has been reported. The record is from RNAcentral. Lineage: Eukaryota; Metazoa; Chordata; Lepidosauria; Squamata; Agamidae.
ACCUUUGCGCAGUGGCAGUAUCAUAGCCAAUGAGGUUAAUCCAAGGCGCGAUUAUUGCUAAUUGAAAACUUGUCUAAUGGAUGUUGUCUUCAGUUUGCAGUCCUGCUUGACUGAUGUUAAAAGUUCAUGUUCUCUUCUAGAUG